RNAcentral lists this ribosomal RNA (63 nucleotides) under Sargassum vulgare. RNAcentral describes it as "partial 5.8S ribosomal RNA". It matches the Rfam family "5.8S ribosomal RNA", at positions 1 to 61 of the family's 154-position model. Rfam says of the family: 5.8S ribosomal RNA (5.8S rRNA) is a component of the large subunit of the eukaryotic ribosome. The record is from RNAcentral. Lineage: Eukaryota; Phaeophyceae; Fucales; Sargassaceae.
AAAACUUUCAGCGACGGAUGUCUUGGCUCCCACAACGAUGAAGAACGCAGCGAAAUGCGAUAC